Molecule: ribosomal RNA, 253 nt
Filed under: uncultured bacterium
Lineage: Bacteria
Description: partial 16S ribosomal RNA
Rfam family: Bacterial small subunit ribosomal RNA
Source: RNAcentral
UACGUAGGGGGCAAGCGUUGUCCGGAAUUAUUGGGCGUAAAGAGCUCGUAGGCGGUUUGUUGCGUCGGCUGUGAAAUCCCGAGGCUCAACCUCGGGUCUGCAGUCGAUACGAGCAAACUAGAGUGUUGCAGGGGAGACUGGAAUUCCUGGUGUAGCGGUGAAAUGCGCAGAUAUCAGGAGGAACACCGGUGGCGAAGGCGGGUCUCUGGGCCGAUACUGACGCUGAGAAGCGAAAGCGUGGGGAGCGAACAGG